GUUUUUGUAGUAAUACAAGGCAUACGGCUCAGUAACACGUAGUCAACCUACCCUAUGGACGAGGAUAAUCUCGGGAAACUGAGCAUAAUACUCGAUAGAUCAUAAUGCCUGGAAUGGUUUAUGGUUGAAAUGAUUCUUUCGCCAUAGGAUGGGACUGCGGCCUAUCAGCUUGUUGGUGAGGUAAAGGCCCACCAAGGCAAUUACAGGUACGGGCUCUGAGAGGAGAAGCCCGGAGAUGGGUACUGAGACAAGGACCCAGGCCCUAUGGGGCGCAGCAGGCGAGAAAACUUUGCAAUGUGCGAAAGCACGACAAGGUUAAUCCGAGUGAUUCCUGCUAAAGGAAUCUUUUACCAGUUCUAAAAAUACUGGCGAAUAAGGGGUGGGCAAGUUCUGGUGUCAGCCGCCGCGGUAAAACCAGCACCUCAAGUGGUCAGGAGGAUUAUUGGGCCUAAAGCAUCCGUAGCCGGCUCUGUAAGUUUUCGGUUAAAUCUAUAUGCUCAACGUAUAGGC
RNAcentral lists this ribosomal RNA (510 nucleotides) under uncultured Thermocladium sp. RNAcentral describes it as "bacterial SSU rRNA". It matches the Rfam family "Archaeal small subunit ribosomal RNA", at positions 60 to 571 of the family's 1478-position model. Lineage: Archaea; Thermoproteati; Thermoproteota; Thermoprotei; Thermoproteales; Thermoproteaceae. The record is from RNAcentral.